This is a long non-coding RNA of Malaclemys terrapin pileata, 825 nucleotides long. RefSeq lists it as uncharacterized. The record is from RefSeq and is a predicted model, not a curated record. The transcript has 3 exons. Lineage: Eukaryota; Metazoa; Chordata; Testudines; Emydidae.
GCCAGUAUAUUAACUUUGUUCAGAGUUCCUAGACGAGGCUAUUUAGGACUUUCUAUUUUACACAGUAAUCUGGCUUUGGUGGGGGAAUAUCUGCAGCUGCCUGAUUUAGGGAAUUCAGUAUCCAAUUUUUCUUUUGCACGAAGCCAGAAUUCAGUCCUGACAUCCACCAGUCCAGCACCCAGCUGAAGGAUGUGUUAUCAUCAUCACACAGCAGACCCAAGUCUUGCCUCAUAAUAUACUGGAAUAAGAUUAUGAUGGAUGCUCAAACAGCUGCUCCCCAGAUUGUCUUAUUUAAUGUGAUGGUCUGCAACAGACUCCCAGCAGAAUCUCAUCUUUUGGUUUAUUGGUUAGGAUACUGAUCCAUGAGUUCCAGGUUUUGUGCUUCUGAAUUAUCAAUAACUCCAAAGCCAGGUAAUGGCAUUUUUGAUGUAGCAUUUUGUUUCUCUCUCCCUUUCUUCCCCUUCCAUCUCUCUUAAACAUCUUGUUAUCUAGAUCUGGGGAAUAUUGCAAAAGCCUACAUUCAUUCAAAUAAACAUCAUACAUUCUGCAUGUUUCAGUAGCUUUGCAGAAACAUUAGUGAAGAUAUGAUAAUUUUGUUUGCAAAAAUGAUUGAGGCAGGAAAAGAUGUAUUGAAUGCAUGUGUUACAAAGUAUUUUCAAUGGAAGUGUUCAUGCAGCCAUCUUGAAAGCUCUUUGUCCAUUGUCCAAUCAGUGAGCAGGAAAAAAAAAUCAUGAAAUGUAAGAGACCAACCACAGGCAUGACUAUUAAUUACAAACAGGAAAUACUAGACAUAAUGGAUAGUUCAUGACCCAGAGGCCUAUUUGA